This 353-nucleotide ribosomal RNA is filed under the name Sesamia pennipuncta. RNAcentral's name for it is "partial 12S small subunit ribosomal RNA". Lineage: Eukaryota; Metazoa; Arthropoda; Insecta; Lepidoptera; Noctuidae. The record is from RNAcentral.
AAAAUUUAAAAUAAAAAUACUAAAAUAGUAGAUAAAUAUUUAUUGAAACUUAAAUAAUUUGGCGGUAUUUUAGUUCAUUUAGAGGAAUCUGUUUAAUAAUUGAUAUUCCACGAAUAAAUUUACUUAAUUUAUAAUUUUGUAUAUCGUUGUUAUAAAAAUAUUUUUUAAUAAAAUUAAUAUUUAAAAAUUAAUAUAGUAAAUUAAAUCAGAUCAAGAUGCAGAUUAUAAUUAAGAAUAUAAUGGAUUACAAUAAAUUUAUUUAAAUAUGGAUUUUAAUUUGUAAUAUUUAAUUGAAGGUGGAUUUAAAUGUAAUUUUAUUUAAUUUAAUAAAAUGAUUAAAAAUUAAAAUAUGU